GUAAUAGACUGAAUUGUUUAUCUAGAGCUUGUAGAACGUAGUUUUAAAUAGAUAUGUUAGCAUUGGUGAGAAAGUUGUGUACUGAUUCGAGAAAUUUAGGGUGCAUGCGACUUAGCGAGAAGCGCACGGAUUGGAAUAGAUAUCCUAAGUCCCAGGCUAAGACGGAGAGCACUGUAUUGAACUCGAUUAAGUUUCGAGGAGAAGGGUUGAGGGGUGCGCACCCCACCAUGUGGACCUAAGGGCUUUGAAGAUGUUAAGUGAUCUAUUGCAUCUCUUAAUGGUUUUUCUAAGAUGGAGAGAUGUAUAAUCCUAAACUUUCCAAGUAUUGGCAGAUGGAAGUAACACUAGAUUGAACUGCAUUGAGACAGUCGGCUAAGUUUUUGGAUUUCGAGAGGAUGAGAGCAUCGUCAGCAUAUUGCGUGGAAAUACAAUUCGGAUGAAGCUCGAUUGCAACGUGAACAUUAUGAUUGCGAACACACCUAUGACAGCUGCGUUCUAAGAUCAGCCGAGAGUGCGCGAACAUCGUUGCCUCGGUUCAUUUUCGAACACACUUGGCCAAUUCAGGAUUGGUCAAUUCCUUUAGAUCAGCAUUAACUAAACCGGUUCCAGACCGCCGUGUAAACGUACUUUAAGGCCUGUUAUCUUCUGCGCGCUUCAAUGUAUAAACUACGUUUAUUUUCAAAAUACAAGUAUCUGAUUGGCUAAUAGCACAGUUAAGCCGAGUUUAUGCAUUGAACCGCGUCGAAGAAAACGAAGCGUAAAUCUGUUCAAGCCGCCGUGUA
This is a long non-coding RNA of Cephus cinctus (wheat stem sawfly), 782 nucleotides long. RefSeq lists it as uncharacterized. The record is from RefSeq and is a predicted model, not a curated record. NCBI's taxonomy places the organism in Eukaryota, Metazoa, Arthropoda, Insecta, Hymenoptera, Cephidae. The transcript has 5 exons.